This 1635-nucleotide long non-coding RNA is filed under the name Androctonus crassicauda. Lineage: Eukaryota; Metazoa; Arthropoda; Arachnida; Scorpiones; Buthidae. The record is from RNAcentral.
AUCUUAUUAUAUCAUUUGUUUUUGAUUAAUACUUAUACUGAAUUAUUGUGGUUAAUGUAUUCUUACAAAGAAUAUUUUAUAAAAUUGCUAAAUCAUCAAGUCUUAACUUUUGGAAAUAUUUUCAAUCUUUCUUUCUAAUUUUUAUACUGUUUUUCUAAUCAAAGACUAAUAGAUAACACUGUGAUAGUAAUUUUGGAAAGUGAUUAGAAAAUGGUCUUAUGUAACUUCAAGCCACUUUCUAAUCAGCAGUUACUAAGUAGUAAACUCAUGCUCAUGCUCAUUAGGAAUGAACUACAUUUUGGUGGGAAAAACUCUCUAAGUUGAAGAAUAGGUUCAACAAGCUGUGACUGGACCCCUCCUGAAAAAUCUGAAGUGUGGGACCUGAGUCCUUCAACAUGGUAAAUGACAGUUUUACCUUAUGGCCAUUUUUGAAGGAUGGGGACUGACAGGCUGAACCCAGCUUUUCCUAAAUGAAUAUGUAGCUAUAAGAUCCAGAAUUAAACCUGGAUAUUCCAGGUAAUAAAUAACAAUAUGUCUUUACUAAUGGAAGUUUUUAUUAUGUUUGCAUGCUGGCAAUCAUCAUUAGAUUCCCUAAGAAAGGUUAUUUAGGUUGGUGUUAUUUAGGUUCUUUUAUAACAUGUAAUGCUAAUUAUAGAAAUUAUUUUGUCAUUAUUUAUAUAUUUACUGAUAUUAGAAGUAUAUCAGUAAAUAUAUAAAUAAUGACAAAAUAAUUAUAUAGGUACUGAUAUUAUAGGUAUAUUAUAGUAGGUAUAUUUACUAUAUUUUAGUAAAAAAUAGUUGGCAUAUUUUGGGCUCAGAAUACAAUAUAUUUUUUAAUGGAAAGUAAUGGCAAUUUAAAUGUUGAUUCUAUGAGCAUUUUCCAAAAAUGCUUUAAUUUUAUAAACCAGAGUUAAAGUAUAUGUUUAAUUAUUAUUUUUCAGUUCAGUUAGAAAGGGGAGCAGAAAAUAUCCCUAGGAACUAUAUAGUGAUCUGUUAUGCAGCUACUUUUAUUACAAUAGAACUGCUAAUAUUCUUGAGGAUCACAAAGUGCUAAAAAUGUUCCAAAUUUUCAAAAGAUCUUUUACCAUCAGAGAAAAAAACUGAUCUGAAAAUAUGUAACAGAAUAGAUGAAAACAAUGUAUGUUGUAUUAGAUUGUAUUAGCCUGAAUAUAAAACCAGUUUUUCAAGAAAUUCAGUACAAAAAAAAAAAUAGGAGCUAAUUUUUUAUAGUCAAGAUUCUAAAAUAAAUGUUCAAUUAUAAAACAGUGUUUUACAGAAAAUCUUCUUCAUUUUGUAAUACUGCUGCUAGCAUAUUAAAUAUUCUUCAUAUUUUUAAAAUACUUUCUGUUAAACUAUUUUGGAACUUUCAUAUAUUUUUUAAUGGGAAUGAUGAUGAUAAACUCAUAUUUUUGUUCAACUGCUUUACAAUGUUCAAACUAUCAAUAAAGUAUUAAAUCGGCGCUCUUUGGCAGUUAUUGUUCUGGGAAUCUUUAUUCCAAGCAAAUAGAAUCAGAAGUCACAUCAUCAUGUUCACUUAUGACUCAAAAAAAAAAAAAAAAAAAAAAUUAUACCCAUCCUUAAAACUCAAACCAGUUUGCCUGACAUUCUACAGGUUUAUGCUGGAGAAGAUAUAAC